AAAUUGAAGAGUUUGAUCAUGGCUCAGAUUGAACGCUGGCGGCAGGCCUAACACAUGCAAGUCGAACGGUAACAGGAAGCAGCUUGCUGCUUCGCUGACGAGUGGCGGACGGGUGAGUAAUGUCUGGGAAACUGCCUGAUGGAGGGGGAUAACUACUGGAAACGGUAGCUAAUACCGCAUAACGUCGCAAGACCAAAGAGGGGGACCUUCGGGCCUCUUGCCAUCGGAUGUGCCCAGAUGGGAUUAGCUUGUUGGUGGGGUAACGGCUCA
RNAcentral lists this ribosomal RNA (270 nucleotides) under Escherichia coli. Its description in RNAcentral is "partial 16S ribosomal RNA". It matches the Rfam family "Bacterial small subunit ribosomal RNA", at positions 1 to 267 of the family's 1533-position model. RNAcentral also lists the same sequence under 1 other name. Lineage: Bacteria; Pseudomonadati; Pseudomonadota; Gammaproteobacteria; Enterobacterales; Enterobacteriaceae. The record is from RNAcentral.